GACGAACCGUGCGAACGUUGUUCGGAUUCACUGGGCUUAAAGGGCGCGUAGGCGGAUCAGCAAGUCCGGGGUGAAAGCUUUCGGCUUAACCGGAAAAGGGCCUUGGAUACUGCUGGUCUGGAGGGAGGUAGGGGCAUGUGGAACUUCCGGUGGAGCGGUGAAAUGCGUAGAUAUCGGAAGGAACGCCGGUGGCGAAAGCGACGUGCUGGACCUCUUCUGACGCUGAGGCGCGAAAGCCAGGGGAGCAAACGG
RNAcentral lists this ribosomal RNA (252 nucleotides) under uncultured bacterium. Its description in RNAcentral is "partial 16S ribosomal RNA". It matches the Rfam family "Bacterial small subunit ribosomal RNA", at positions 524 to 775 of the family's 1533-position model. The record is from RNAcentral.